CUCGUAGGCGGUUCGUCGCGUCCGGUGUGAAAGUCCAUCGCUUAACGGUGGAUCCGCGCCGGGUACGGGCGGGCUUGAGUGCGGCAGGGGAGACUGGAAUUCCCGGUGUAACGGUGGAAUGUGUAGAUAUCGGGAAGAACACCAAUGGCGAAGGCAGGUCUCUGGGCCGUCACUGACGCUGAGGAGCGAAAGCGUGGGGAGCGAACA
Molecule: ribosomal RNA, 207 nt
Filed under: uncultured bacterium
Lineage: Bacteria
Description: partial 16S ribosomal RNA
Rfam family: Bacterial small subunit ribosomal RNA
Source: RNAcentral